CUACGGGAUGCACCAGUGAGGAAUCUUCCGCAAUGGGCGAAAGCCUGACGGAGCGACACCGCGUGAAGGAUGAAGGUCUUUUGAUUGUAAACUUCUUUUCUGAGGGAAUAAAUGAUGAAGUUACCUCAGGAAUAAGCACCGGCUAAUUACGUGCCAGCAGCCGCGGUAAUACGUAAGGUGCAAGCGUUAUCCGGAAUCAUUGGGCGUAAAGCGUUCGUAGGCCGUUUGUUAAGUUUAUUGUUAAAUCUGGUCGCUCAACGAUCAAAUCGCUAUAAAAACUGGCAAACUAGAGAUUGGCAGAGGCAACUGGAAUUCUGCAUGUAGGGGUAAAAUCCGUUGAUAUGCAGAGGAACACCAAAAGCGAAGGCAGGUUGCUGGGCCAUUUCUGACGCUGAGGAACGAAAGCGUGGGGAGCAAACAGGAUUAGAUACCCUCGUAGUC
RNAcentral lists this ribosomal RNA (441 nucleotides) under uncultured bacterium. RNAcentral's name for it is "partial 16S ribosomal RNA". It matches the Rfam family "Bacterial small subunit ribosomal RNA", at positions 339 to 795 of the family's 1533-position model. The record is from RNAcentral.